Molecule: ribosomal RNA, 396 nt
Filed under: uncultured eukaryote
Lineage: Eukaryota
Description: SSU rRNA
Rfam family: Eukaryotic small subunit ribosomal RNA
Source: RNAcentral
ACCUGGUUGAUCCUGCCAGUAGUCAUAUGCUUGUCUCAAAGAUAAAGCCAUGCAUGUCUAAGUAUAAACUGCUUAUACUGUGAAACUGCGAAUGGCUCAUUAAAUCAGUUAUAGUUUAUUUGAUGGUACCUUACUACUCGGAUAACCGUAGUAAUUCUAGAGCUAAUACGUGCGCACAUCCCGACUCACGAAGGGACGUAUUUAUUAGAUAAAAGGCCGACCGGGGCAACCCGACUCGCGGUGAAUCAUGAUAACUUCACGAAUCGUACGGCCUUGUGCCGACGAUGUUUCAUUCAAAUUUCUGCCCUAUCAACUUUCGAUGGUUGGAUAGAGGCCAACCAUGGUGGUAACGGGUGACGGAGGAUUAGGGUUCGAUUCCGGAGAGGGAGCCUGAGA